RNAcentral lists this long non-coding RNA (1133 nucleotides) under Homo sapiens (human). RNAcentral's name for it is "HSALNT0195599". Lineage: Eukaryota; Metazoa; Chordata; Mammalia; Primates; Hominidae. The record is from RNAcentral.
AGAGAGGCAGGGUCUCCAGGGAUUCCUGAACGUAAUCCCAUGAAGUUCUGGAAUCACCGAGUUAUGUGGUCCCAGUUAAACUCCUGGCCUUGGCUCUCUGGGUAAAGAGAAAACAUAAUCCUAACCAUCUUCAUGACUGAUUGGCAAUAUUUUCACUGUGACUUUUCCUCCAGAGACAUGUAAAGAUAUCACCGUGAGUUUGUAAGAUAAUCUUUCCUUUAGAGUUCUGCUGUUCCUUGUCAUUUUGCCCGUGAGGAUGGCCUGUUGGCCGCACGGGGACGACAGUCAAGAGAGAACCGUGACCUUGUUUGCAUUGCGUUGCUGAUACACACGAGCCCAUGAUGAAGUGAUUUGGGUAGAGCGAGGUCAGGCCACAUCUGUUAACCAAGUAGCCAGUCCUGGGCUUAAAAAUUAUUUGUUUCCAACUCUUUUUCUCUUUUCCGUCCCCGUAUUGACAGGAACAGCUGUCUUCUUUUUAAAAGGGCUACUUCCAUCUCUUUCAUUUUAUUGUUUCCACGUCUUUGAUUGUUUUGGAACAAGUCCGAUGGUGGAGACGGAACAGGGAGAUCACGAAGACAGCCUCUCCUUUAAAAAAUGACCAUGAUCUCACGCCUCCUCCCAACCCAGUGGAAACUGGAGCACCGCUCAAGGAGACGCUGCUGUCACAGGAUCCUGCUUACGGGCACGAAAGCUGGGAAAUUUCAGAGCCAAUCUGGGCCAGGGGAGGCUGGAGCUCGUGAGCUGGGCUGGAAAUGAUUCUUCCAGACUGCAGAGAAGACAGUGGCCUGCCCGCCGGCCGGCCUGCCUGCCCUCCCCGAGGCCAACAGGAAAUCCCAGAAUUUAUAGAUGACCCCGUUACAAGGUUAGGCCGGGAAAUUCCACUUGGUUCAUUGUCUUCAGCAGCAAACUGCCCGCUAGAACCUGUGAGGCUGAGAAAAACCAGAUGCCUGAUGGAUGCUUCCACAUAGGACCAGGGCGCUGGAGGUAAAUGGGGCCUGGUGCCGUGUGGCGAACGUUGAGGGCUCUUUCCCAUCCUGCAAAUGGCUCUGGGUGUGGAGACAGCCCAGGGAAGAGGCUGUCUGGGACCAUAUGGCGCUUGCCAGUGGCACUGAGGCUGUUAGAGACAGCGGUGG